AUGGAUUCGGUGGUUUGGCCCCAUUCUGCUUCUGGUCGCUUCUCGGUUAAAUCUAUCUAUUCUAAGCUUAUUGGUGGAUCCCCUACUAGCAGAUUUUCCCAGGUUUGGAGGGCCCGGAUCCCCCUGAAAGUUAAGAUUUUUCUCUGGCAAGCUAUUAGGGGACGUCUGCCAGCGGCCGACCAAAUUCGCAAAAGGAAUGGUCCGGGAUCGGAGUUUUGCGCCCUUUGUGGUGCCUUGGAGGAUACGGAUCACAUUAUUUUCAAUUGUGUUAUGGCUAAGUUGAUCUGGAGCUGUGUUAGAGAGUGGCUCCAGGUCUCUUGGGUCCCCUCAUCCUUCUCUGAGCUCCGGGCCCUCGCUAACUCCCUGACAGACGCUACCAAACGGGUUUUUUGGGUUGGUCUGUGCUGGUCCCUUUGGACGACUAGGAACAAGUUUACCAUUGAGCAUGUGUUCCCUGCUAAACCUGCUGAGUGCUUAUUUAAAUCGUGUGCUCUCUUGCAGUAG
This 504-nucleotide ribosomal RNA is filed under the name Triticum aestivum (bread wheat). RNAcentral describes it as "partial small subunit ribosomal RNA". Lineage: Eukaryota; Viridiplantae; Streptophyta; Magnoliopsida; Poales; Poaceae. The record is from RNAcentral.